Molecule: non-coding RNA, 3988 nt
Organism: Phoenix dactylifera (date palm)
Lineage: Eukaryota; Viridiplantae; Streptophyta; Magnoliopsida; Arecales; Arecaceae
Source: RefSeq, a predicted model, not a curated record
UUGCGGUGAUUGCUGGAAUGGGAACGCUAUAGGGCAUCGACCCGCGAGGCUCUACCUCCUUUGGGUAUAUUAAUCUGCUCCUAAAAAACCGAUCUUUUUCUCCGAUUCCCCGCUCAUCUCCUCUUCUCUCGCAAAACCCUAAGCCCUUGGCGUCUUCCUUCGUUCGUUCGCACUUGUUUCUUGGGUUUUUCUCGAGGGAACUACGGAGCGAGGGAGGAGGGAUCGAGGUCCGCUAAUGGCGGUCGCUUGUCCGAAGCGCGGGGUAGCCGCGGGGGGAAUUGUGUGGCUUCAUGCGGAGGAGGUUGUUUCGGGGGGCGUAGCCGAGGGAGGCAGGAGGCCGACAUUCGUGAGCGGGAAUCUGGGGCGUACGAGCGCGGCGCUGGGCGGCGGAACGAUCGAGGUCCGUUUGCCGAGGAAUGCAGCAGGAACGGAGCUCGUUCCCUUCCAAUCGGUAGCGAAACAGCCUUCGUAAAGUUUCAAGGUCCUCGAAUUCUUGGUGCGCAGAUCCAGAGCGGAGAAGUGUAAGGAGAUUAUAGAUCUGUGAGCUGAAGACUUGGAUUCGAAGCGGCAGGCGAGAUUAGAACUUUUCCGCUCUCAAGAGAGAGUGCUUUCAAAAAACGUCCGAAUUCGAGGCUUGCUGCUGCCUGCGUCCGAUUCUGCUGCGGUGCGUGCAGGCUGCAGUGCUGAUCGCUGUCCGCCUGAGGGAGAGCAGUGAAAGGGAUAGAGAGAGAGAGAGAGAGAGAGAGCCGGAGACCAGCUCAUCGCUCCAGGUGUUGCUAUGAUAUCGCUGUGGAAAGCUGAGGCUAGGAGCUGACAUCUCCGGCCACCAACGCCAUCUCGAGUGUCCAAAAGGUGACACCUUUCUCUCUUGUUCCUCUCUCUCUCUCUCUUUUAUCCCAUCAGUACUGCACUGUGAAUUUCGUCAUCAAUGCUGAAGGAAUAGCGCCCACCGACCUCAGAAACCCUAGCCCGAGAGCGCAGCCGAGCUGCUUGCCUCGGUCUCUCGCGCUCUUUCCCCAAAAGGUGACCUUGGGAUAAGAAAGGAGCGGUUUGCGGAGGUGACAGGAACGAGCUCAACCCACGCACCCACCCAGUCUCGGCCCGGAAAAGGCAUGAAAGCGGGAUGGAGGUGGAGGAGCACCACGCCUGCAAGCGAUCCCGCGGGUCGGUAACGGCACCGCCAGCCGCAGCCAGGCGGCCAGGAUAGGUUGCAAGGCCCCUGCACCAGGAGGACGACGACGAGGAUGGAGAAGGGAGGGGCGGUGGCGGCGCCACCCGUGAGAGCCUCGUCAUGCCUUGGCACCACCCAUCCUCCAGGAUCUUCCGAGUCUCUCGGGCCGCCGGCGGCAAGGACCGCCACAGCAAGGUGUACACCGCCAAGGGCCUCCGGGAUCGAGGGUCCGCCUCUCGGUGUUCCACUGCCAUCCCAGCUUCUAUGACCUCCAGGAUCGUCUUUCGGUUUUGACCAGCCCGAGCAAGGCCGAUCGGAGUGGCUGAUCAAAGCCGCUACUUGCCGCCAUCAACGAGCUCCCGGCUCUAGACGGCACCUUCCCGGAGGCUCCCAAGCCUCAUCGUCCCGAAGAGAAGCUGAUGGACGAGCCCGAUGCUGAGGCGGAGCCCAGCUUCAGCCAGCCAAGCAGCAGCAGCCAUCUUUCCCACUCUCCAAGUCCGGCUGCAGCAGCACCUCCGAGACCAGCAAGGGCUCGGUCCUCUCCCUCCUCCCGGUCCGAGAUCCGCGUCAAGGCGCGAGAACGUGCCCGGGAAAGGCCAAGGACAAGGAGGACCGAGACGAAUGGCCAUGUCGCUGUCUCCCAUCACCAGAACGUCAACCCCCAGCCUCAACUCUCAGACCUCCUUCACCGAGCUUCUCACCGGCAGCAGCAGCAAUGGCACCGCAGUUGCGGCUGCGCAGGCGAAUUCCGCUGUUAAUUGCAUCCAGAAGCAAAUGCGUCGCCUGACGACGGUCACCACCACUCGCCGAUUACUUUGGCCAAGCAGGUCUGGUUUCCCCAGGCACAGAAGGCUCAGCAGCUGCCAUCGGGGUUCUCGUCCCAAGCCCACUUUGGGAACAGCUCUCCCAUGGGAAUGGUGCCGUUCAACGUCGUAGCCGCUGCAGCGGCAGCUGGAGACCAUUCGGAGAUGCAGCAGUUCUCUUUCCUGCAGGACCAUCUCAUGCCCCGCCUCGGCCGUGGCAGCUGCAGCCGGAGACUAUAACCUCAACUUCCCCAUCUCUUCUGGUCUUGCAGGUUUCAACAGGGGGACCCUUCAGUCCCAAUUCACAAUCUCAGUUGCCUCACCACCACCUCCAGAGGCUCUCUUCUCCGGUAGACGGAUCAAAUCUGUCCUUCUUUGCCUCUGCUGCUUCAGCUGCAGCCGCCACUUCCACGGAGAACCAGUUCUCGGCUGGCUUUGAUGGUCGCCUUCAACUCUUCUACGGCGAUGGCUACCGGCAUUCAGACCUGAAGGGGAAAGGGAAGAGCUGAGACUUUCUUUGCCACCUUCUUCUUGCUGUUGCAGGAAUGGAAGACAGCAACCAUGGUGAACUCAAGCACUUCGCACACAAGGCAUCUGAAAUAUGAUAUUAUAUUAAUGCUGUUAUUAGAACUAUUUUUGCUGUAUUCAUGAGCCGUAUGAUUUUAUCUUUUGUGUGGAUUGAGGGUUAUACCUCAUCAUCAGAACCAUAUACAAUUUCUUGCGUAACUUCUUAUUGCUGUCCUGAAUUCAUUAAGCUGUGGAUCUGAGAUAUUUGGAGCUAAUUGAAGUGCAGCGGAUUUGUUCGUUCAUGUUGCUCUAAAUGUCAUCGAACGCAUAUCAUAGACCCGAACAGGGUGUAAAGUGUGGUGCUUGUCCUGGUGGUUGAUCAUGCCUGGUUGUUUAUUGUUGUGCUUUGAAGGCUCCCAUCCGUACUGUUUGGUUUGUGAAUGGAACUCUACAGUAUCCACGCAAGAGUUUCAACAUGCUGAAAAGCCUUCCUGUAAGCUUGAAAAAUUGGUUGGUUGGUGAAUUAUUGGUACUAUUGCAAUUUUGGAAAAAUGCUCCAUUCUACUGUUUUUUCUAAUGGUAUUGAAUUACUAUUAUCUUAAUCUCCUUGUAUUAUUCGGGUUCUACUCACUGCUAAACGUUAAGCUCCCAACUUUGGCCAUAUAUUGAUUUCAUACGCAUGAUUAGUUCCAAUGCUUUCCAUGCAGAAUGUUCGGAGCUCAUUCUGUCGCAUAUCAAUUUCAUUGAUAUGAUGUUCGCGAGCAGCGCUCCUGAUUAGUUCCAACGUGCGCCACGACGACCGCAGCCACGAGACCUUACAUCCUAUGUUGCUCUAAAAUAGCAUCUCUAGUACUCUUCUAAAUCACAGGCUUCUCAUCACGAUCAAAUAAUCCAUCCUCAAGCAUUAAAAAGGAGAAAUAGCCAGACAUGACCCCAGAAAAAAGCAACAAUGUUACAGAUUACACCCACAAGUCUAUUUGCUGGUUUAUAUAGCAAUCUAGUGUUGCUGAGAUAUCAGCGUAAACAAAAGACAAAACUAAAAUAAACAAGUUUGUAAAUUAAAAGGUUGUCUUUGGUUCUUAAUGGUAGUUUACAACCUGAAAAUUCAGACGGACACUACAUGAGGUUACAAGAUCACGACAAUUUUUGAAAAAUUAAAACUUGAUACAAGUUCGGUAGAAGAAUAACUGAUAGAUUGAUCAGUGCAAGCAUGCUAAUGCACCAAAUACAACAUAUACGUUCACUAAAAAACCAUAUCCAGAAGGAACAAUAUUGACACUGUAACGUGAGGUGGGGUAGAGAAUAAUAGAGACUGCUCUAACUGCCCCUUAUGUAUUUACUUAAACAAGGGGACCCGGAAAACGGGAGCAUGUUGCAUGUCAGUUCAUGAAGGUGAUGUUGCAGCCCAUAAUCAUUGCAGCAGCAAGAGGUGAGAGUGAAGGAGUUGAUCACAAUCAGAUAAUGGUCUCUCUUGUUAUCUACCUCCAAGGAGUCACUCCCCAUCUCU